Molecule: ribosomal RNA, 326 nt
Filed under: uncultured fungus
Lineage: Eukaryota; Fungi
Description: LSU rRNA
Rfam family: Eukaryotic large subunit ribosomal RNA
Source: RNAcentral
AUAUUGGCGAGAGACCGAUAGCGAACAAGUACCGUGAGGGAAAGAUGAAAAGCACUUUGGAAAGAGAGUUAAACAGUACGUGAAAUUGUUAAAAGGGAAACGCUUGAAGUCAGUCGCGUUUGCUUGGAUUCAGCCUUGCUUCGGUUUGGUGCAUUUCCUUGUGAACGGGCCAGCGUCCAUGUUGUCCGUCGGAAAAGGGGUGAAGGAAUGUGGCUCUUUCGGGAGUGUUAUAGCCUUUGCUCGUAUACGGCGUGUGAUAUGGAGUGGUACAGCAUGCUUCGGCGGUGCUUGUGCUGGCAUAAUGGCUUUAAACGACCCGUCUUGAA